Molecule: ribosomal RNA, 329 nt
Filed under: uncultured bacterium
Lineage: Bacteria
Description: bacterial SSU rRNA
Rfam family: Bacterial small subunit ribosomal RNA
Source: RNAcentral
GGGGGAAUAUUGGGGCAAUGGGGCGAAAGCCUGACCCAGCAACGCCGCGUGAAGGAAGAAGGUUUUCGGAUUGUAAACUUCUGUCCUAAGUGACGAAGGAAGUGACGGUAGCUUAGGAGGAAGCCCCGGCUAACUACGUGCCAGCAGCCGCGGUAAUACGUAGGGGGCGAGCGUUGUCCGGAAUGACUGGGCGUAAAGGGCGUGUAGGCGGCCGAUUAAGUCUGAAGUGAAAGUCCUGCUUUCAAGGUGGGAAUUGCUUUGGAGACUGGUCGGCUUGAGUGCGGAAGAGGUAAGUGGAAUUCCCAGUGUAGCGGUGAAAUGCGUAGAGA